AUUCGUCUGGGGGGGAGAGUGGCGAACUGGUGAGUAACACGUGGGUGACCUGCCCCGAAGACGGGGAUAACCGUCGGAAACGACGGCUAAUACCCGAUAUACUCGGUGAUUCGGUUCAUCGAGUAAAGGCUCCGGUGCUUCGGGAUGGGCCUGCGGCCUAUCAGCUAGUUGGUGGGGUAAUGGCCCACCAAGGCGAAGACGGGUAGGGGGCGUGAGAGCGCGGNCCCCCACACUGGCACUGAGAUACGGGCCAGACUUCUACGGAAGGCAGCAGUCGGGGAUAUUGCACAAUCGGCGAAAGCCGGAUGCAGCGACGCCGCGUGGGCGAUGAAGGCCUUCGGGUUGUAAAGCCCUUUUAUGGGGGAAGAGACAAGGACGGUACCCCAAGAAUAAGCGUCGGCUAACUACGUGCCAGCAGCCGCGGUAAAACGUAGGACGCAAGCGUUAUCCGGAUUUACUGGGCGUAAAGAGCGUUGAGGCGGUUCCGUAAGUUGGGCGUGAAAGCCCCGGGCUUAACCCGGGGAGGUCGUUCAAUACUGCGGGACUUGAGGGCAGCAGAGGGAGGCGGAAUUCCCGGUGUAGCGGUGAAAUGCGUAGAUAUCGGGAGGAACACCAGUGGCGAAGGCGGCCUCCUGGGCUGUUUCUGACGCUGAAGGCGAAAGCUAGGGGAGCGAACGGGAUUAGAAACCCCGGUAGUCCUAGCCGUAAACGAUGGAUGCUGGGUGUGGGGGGUAUAGAUCCCCUCCGUGCCGAAGCUAACGCGUUAAGCAUCCCGCCUGGGGAUUACGCCCGCAAGGCUUAAACUCAAACGAAUUGACGGGGGCCCGCACAAGCAGCGGAGCGUGUGGUUUAAUUCGAUGCUACACGAAGAACCUCACGGGGGCUUGACAUGUAGGUAGUAGUGAAGCGAAAGCGGAACGACCCUUCGGGGAGCCAACACAGGUGCUGCAUGGCUGUCGUCAGUUCGUGCCGUGAGAUGUCGGGUUAAGUCCCGUAACGAACGCAACCCUUGCCCUUAGUUACAUGUGUCUAAGGGGACUGCCCGGGACAACUGGGAGGAAGGUGGGGAUGACGUCAAGUCAGCAUGGCCUUUAUGUCCAGGGCUACACACACGCUACAAUGGCCGGUACAAUGGG
RNAcentral lists this ribosomal RNA (1136 nucleotides) under uncultured organism. RNAcentral's name for it is "bacterial SSU rRNA". It matches the Rfam family "Bacterial small subunit ribosomal RNA", at positions 78 to 1246 of the family's 1533-position model. The record is from RNAcentral.